Molecule: ribosomal RNA, 399 nt
Filed under: Bruchidius meibomiaca
Lineage: Eukaryota; Metazoa; Arthropoda; Insecta; Coleoptera; Chrysomelidae
Description: partial 12S ribosomal RNA
Source: RNAcentral
UAAACUAGGAUUAGAUACCCUAUUAUUUUAAAUGUAAAGUUUUUACACUAAAUUAGUAAUAGUUAUGUUCUUGAAAAUUAAAAAGUUUGGCGGUAUUUUAGUCUUUUCAGAGGAAUCUGUCCUGUAAUUGAUAAUCCACGAUUAUAUUGACUUUACUUUUUAAUUUACAUAUCGUCGUAGUUUGAAUAUUUUAAUAGAAAUUUAAUAUUCAGGAUUUUUAAUUAAAAAAUAAAUCAGAUCAAGGUGUAGUUUAUAGUUAAGAAGAGAUGGAUUACAGAAAAUUUAUUUAAGGAUAAUUUAUUUAAAAUAAAUUUGAAUGUGGAUUUGAAAGUAAUUUUUAAAAAUUUUUUUUAGAUGAUUAUAGCUCUAAAAUAUGCACACAUCGCCCGUCGCUCUUAA